Molecule: non-coding RNA, 663 nt
Organism: Marmota flaviventris (yellow-bellied marmot)
Lineage: Eukaryota; Metazoa; Chordata; Mammalia; Rodentia; Sciuridae
Source: RefSeq, a predicted model, not a curated record
GGCACGCCUGUCCGCAGGGCGCUGGUGCUCGUGCAGGCAGGGCCCCGUGUCCCCGGCUCGGUCCCCCCUCGGAGACCGGCCCCGCUGACCAGUCCAGAGGAGUGGCUCGCAGGCCCCGGACACACCUCCCAGAAGGACCGAGGAGCAGUUCGCAGGGGCAGUCGGGGUGCGCCCCGGAACAGCAGGCCUGUCCUGGGGCGGCGGCUAGAGCAGAGAACCCAGCGCUUCUGCAGGGACCCAGCCUCAGCUGUUAGAGGCCUGGGCUCAGUGGAGGGGCGCUCGCCUGGCACCUGUGCGUACCUGGAUCUGAUCCUCAGCAAUGCAUAUAAUUAAAUAAAAUAAAGGUCCAUCAUCAACUACAAAAUAUAUUCAAAAAAAUGUCUUUUACAGGGAUCUGGAGAGUUUUUACAGUUAUCACCAACAUGUUUCCUGUAACACACAGUUUCUUGCCCGUCCCGGUAUAAGAGACUUGGGUUCCUCCAAGUACCCUCCACGGCGGACAGUCCGCCUACAGGCGGCCGGGAUAGGCUGCAAAACGUCCACAGGGACCACGUUAAAUGAACAAAGACUGAACUGUCACAGAUACUUUUUUAUAAAAGGCCUCCGUGGACUAUUGCUUCAGCCUGACUGAUAAACAAGUUCCUAUGAUGAGCUCACAGAUUC